Siniperca chuatsi (mandarin fish) is the source of this 1138-nucleotide long non-coding RNA. RefSeq lists it as uncharacterized. Lineage: Eukaryota; Metazoa; Chordata; Actinopteri; Centrarchiformes; Sinipercidae. The record is from RefSeq and is a predicted model, not a curated record. The transcript is spliced from 4 exons.
AACUGAUUAAUACCCUCAGCAUUAGCUGCUUCUUUUAUUUUCAGUGCCAAUGUCAGGUUGUUGAGUUUGCUAACGGUACUGUACUUUACUUUAACCAUAUAAAUUACAGUUACUGUGGUUUAGUCUAUUCUCAGAUGUUGAGUCCUGCACAAAUGACAUAAAUGCCGCUAGAGGUCACAAUUCCCAAAGCAGUUUUAUUCAGACUAAUGUGGGCCAUUUACUCAUUAGUAGCUCCUGACCUACACACUGAUCUACAAAGAGUCCUGUAGUUAUAAAGGCAGCCAGGAAUUAAACCACAGAUCUGUUUCUCAGGUCAACUUCAGCUGAUUGGUCCAUCUCAACCAAUAGUGGCGACAGUUGGUGAUGACAUCAUUUUCCCAUGCCACCUGGAACCUGCAAUGAAUGCUUCUGACAUGAGCUUGGAGUGAGCUGAGGCCUGGGUUUGUGUCUGUGAGGGCAAACAGUCAAGAAUACGUAGUUACCAAACAGCCGUCCUACAGAGGAAGAACAUCAGUGUCCAUCGACAAACUGGAGCUCGGAGACGUUUCACUGAAACUCUCCAACGUAAAAGUCUCUGAUGAGCAAACAUGCAGACGUUCCAACAGUACCAAGCUUGUUGUUGAAAUGUACUGUAAGAUGUCCACUUCUGGCAGAGCUGUGCCCAUACAUCAGCAAAUACAGCAGACUGACAAACAUGGACGAAAUGUUUGGAAGCUGCUGAUCCCAGUCACCAUGAGGAAACAGUCAGCGGUGGAAGAAGUAUUCAGAUCUUUUACUUAAAGGUCCUGAUGACCUCUGGCUGUCAGCAGCAGAGUGACUGUGGAGACGAGACACGGCAACAGCUUCACCUGUAGAGUCCAACAGCAGAACAUCAACCAGGCCAGAGAAAUACACAUCCAUGUUCCAGUCCUGUCGAGGUACGUGAAAUGUGUCUUGGCUCCAGGAUUAAUCGUGUCUUGCUGUGUGCUGUAUGCACAGUACGAAAAUGGAGGCUAAGCUACAAGCAUGUGACUGAAGAUCUAAGGGGCCCACUGAGUGUCAUGUAAGCAAAGUGCUAUGGUCCUAAGAUUUAUAGACAUGCAACUCUGUAGCUAACAGGAAGGCAGUGUGAAAAACUGAGUAAGGUGUGUUACCCCUA